AAUGAGAAAUAAAAUGUAGGAGUCAGACAGAAAUGAAAAUAUCAGCUUUAUUACUGAUAAAAUGGAUUGUAAAGUAAGGCUUAGGUAUAUAGCCAUAAGGGCUUCCUUGGAUCAUUGAUUAGGUUUGGUGCUGGUACUGGAAAAUUCAAAAGGACAGUGGCAUCAAUGAUGAAAAGACUAUUUCGCACCUAAAAGUCCAGAGGUGUCAGAUCCAGACUGGUAGAGAGCACUGCACAAUGUACCAGCCCCAGACUCCUUUCCGUGUCGCUGCUUUGCUGUGUGUGUUUUCCUUUUCAUUUAGGGGACCAGGAUGCAUGCUCCAGCUCAUUAUCAUGUAUACCUUACAGCCAAGAAGAAAAAAGAGAUUAAGAAAUCUUCCUGAAUAGUCAUAAGAGAGUUCUUCUUCGGGCAGAAUGUCUCUGGCUGCAAAAAGUGCCAACUUUGGUACCAUCGAGUCGAUUCGGACAGGAAUCAUCAACAGAGAUCCCCAACACCUCACCGGCAUAUUCACAGACAAACCGUCCCUUUGGUAUGAAGUCCAGGGUACGAAGUCCCCAGCCUUUGUGAUCCGUCUUGAACACCUGGAGGUGGAACUGCAGACCCCACUGGACCACUCUG
This is a long non-coding RNA of Dama dama (fallow deer), 618 nucleotides long. RefSeq lists it as uncharacterized. The transcript is spliced from 3 exons. The record is from RefSeq and is a predicted model, not a curated record. Lineage: Eukaryota; Metazoa; Chordata; Mammalia; Artiodactyla; Cervidae.